CCUACGGGGUGCUGCAGUGGGGAAUAUUGGACAAUGGGCGAAAGCCUGAUCCAGCCAUGCCGCGUGUGUGAAGAAGGCCUUCGGGUUGUAAAGCACUUUCAGUGGGGAAGAAAGCCUUGGGGCUAAUACCCUCGAGGAAGGACAUCACCCACAGAAGAAGCACCGGCUAACUCCGUGCCAUCAGCCGCGGUAAUACGGAGGGUGCGAGCGUUAAUCGGAAUUACUGGGCGUAAAGCGCGCGUAGGCGGUCUGAUAAGCCGGUUGUGAAAGCCCCGGGCUCAACCUGGGAACGGCAUCCGGAACUGUCAGGCUAGAGUGCAGGAGAGGAAGGUAGAAUUCCCGGUGUAGCGGUGAAAUGCGUAGAGAUCGGGAGGAAUACCAGUGGCGAAGGCGGCCUUCUGGACUGACACUGACGCUGAGGUGCGAAAGCGUGGGUAGCAAACAGGAUUAGAUACCCUAGUAGUC
Molecule: ribosomal RNA, 465 nt
Filed under: Vreelandella stevensii
Lineage: Bacteria; Pseudomonadati; Pseudomonadota; Gammaproteobacteria; Oceanospirillales; Halomonadaceae
Description: partial 16S ribosomal RNA
Rfam family: Bacterial small subunit ribosomal RNA
Source: RNAcentral